This 424-nucleotide ribosomal RNA is filed under the name uncultured bacterium. Its description in RNAcentral is "bacterial SSU rRNA". It matches the Rfam family "Bacterial small subunit ribosomal RNA", at positions 356 to 773 of the family's 1533-position model. The record is from RNAcentral.
GGGGAAUCUUGCGCAAUGGGCGAAAGCCUGACGCAGCGACGCCGCGUGAGUGAUGAAGGCCUUCGGGUUGUAAAGCUCUGUGGAGGGGGACGAAUAAGGGUCGUCGAAUAGACGGCUCGAUGACGGUACCCCUUUAGCAAGCACCGGCUAACUCUGUGCCAGCAGCCGCGGUAAGACAGAGGGUGCAAACGUUGUUCGGAAUUACUGGGCGUAAAGCGCGUGUAGGCGGCUCGGCAAGUCGGAUGUGAAAGCCCUGGGCUUAACCUAGGAAGUGCAUUCGAAACUGCCAAGCUUGAGUUCUGGAGAGGAAGGCGGAAUUCUCGGUGUAGAGGUGAAAUUCGUAGAUAUCGAGAGGAACACCGGUGGCGAAGGCGGCCUUCUGGACAGCAACUGACGCUGAGACGCGAAAGCGUGGGGAGCAAAC